AACUGCUACUAAUGAAAAUUCUCUUAGGGCUUUCGGUGACCUCUGCCUAGGUCUUUGAACAUCUCUCAUCUCUUAGCGUUUAUUUCUAAAUAGCAUCUUUUUGAGAAGGAAGACGGGAACAGAAUACCUAAUAACUCACUCUAGAGAGUGAGUCUGCCUUACAGUGUCAUGGUAUCGGCACUAAAUUUACUUUCUGGUGUUUGCGAGAAAUGGAACAUUAAUUGUGCAGCUACCGUGUGUUAAGAGAACCUAUCCUCGGGAAUUCAUAAUCGAAAGAAGAACAUGAGCUGAUGGCAAUUUUCAUCUAACGAAUGGAUCUCUUACACAUCCCGUGAUCAUCAAAGAAGGAGAUUUUAUGUGGGAAAGUCUUCUGAGAACAAAGCAGAAAAAACACUGAUAAGAAUUACUGAACAUCAAGCUAUGGCUCAUUGCACUGAUUCCAAUGAUAUUCAUUCAAAAGAGGUACCUCUAAGUGAAAAGAAAAACAGGUAUAAAUAAUAGACAUUUGAGAAGUCUUGGUAUAGCAAUUUUUAUGCUUUUCAGAAAUUGUAAAAAUAAAUGCCUCUAAAUGACUGAAUAAAACAUAGUUUGCCUCUU
This is a long non-coding RNA of Gorilla gorilla gorilla (western lowland gorilla), 597 nucleotides long. RefSeq lists it as uncharacterized. Lineage: Eukaryota; Metazoa; Chordata; Mammalia; Primates; Hominidae. The record is from RefSeq and is a predicted model, not a curated record. The transcript is spliced from 4 exons.